AUUAACUUUAAAAAGUAUUUUAAAAAGAUUAAUUUCAUAGAUGUUUUGGCAAAUAUAAUGUAUUGCAAAUAUAUCCUUAUAAAGUUCAACUUUUAUAUAUUAUUCCUGCAAAAGUCCGAAUAUUUUAAAAUAUGUCUCUUUGAUUUAUUACCGUUAAAGUAUUAUUUAUUUUAUAAAUAAAAUGACAUUUUUAUCGUCAUAGAUAUGUCCCUCCAAUUGAAAAGAGGUAAAAAAGUCAAUUCACGUCAUUAACUAACUAGAGUUAAUUAGUUUUAUCUAUGCUUAACUAAUUUUUUCUAACGGAUUAUAACGGCAGAGACAUAUUUGAAAACAUUAGGACGUUUUUUGGAACAACAUAUAAAAGUUAAACUUUAUAGGGAUACAUUUGCAAUGGACUAUAUUUGUAGGGACCUGUAUAAAAUUAACCCUAAAAAAUAAAUACAAAAAAGUUA
RNAcentral lists this long non-coding RNA (452 nucleotides) under Ananas comosus (pineapple). Its description in RNAcentral is "long non-coding RNA (ACOM_LNC013007)". Lineage: Eukaryota; Viridiplantae; Streptophyta; Magnoliopsida; Poales; Bromeliaceae. The record is from RNAcentral.